CCUACGGGAGGCAGCAGUUAGGAAUCUUGCGCAAUGGGGGAAACCCUGACGCAGCGAUGCCGCGUGGGCGAUGAAGGCCUUCGGGUUGUAAAGCCCUUUUAGUCGGGAAGAAAGAAAUGACGGUACCGACAGAAAAAGCACCGGCUAACCCUGUGCCAGCAGCCGCGGUAAUACAGGGGGUGCAAGCGUUACUCGGAAUCAUUGGGCGUAAAGAGCGUGUAGGCGGUUUGGUAAGUCGAAUGUGAAAGCCCCGGGCUUAAUCCGGGAAGUGCAUUCGAUACUGCUAGACUAGAGUACAGGAGAGGUGAACGGAAUUUCUGGUGUAGAGGUGAAAUUCGUAGAUAUCAGAAGGAACAACAGUGGCGAAGGCGGUUCACUGGACUGUAACUGACGCUUAGGCGCGAAAGCGUGGGGAGCAAACAGGAUUAGAUACCCUGGUAGUCCACGCUGUAAACUAUGGGUAUUAGGUGUCGGGAGUUCUUACCCUCUCGAUGCCGUAGCUAACGCGUUAAAUACCCCGCCUGGGAAGUACGGUCGCAAGAUUAAAACUCAAAUGAAUUGACGG
Molecule: ribosomal RNA, 565 nt
Filed under: uncultured bacterium
Lineage: Bacteria
Description: bacterial SSU rRNA
Rfam family: Bacterial small subunit ribosomal RNA
Source: RNAcentral